This 576-nucleotide non-coding RNA is filed under the name Pongo abelii (Sumatran orangutan). The record is from RNAcentral. Lineage: Eukaryota; Metazoa; Chordata; Mammalia; Primates; Hominidae.
AUGUCAACGCAGACACAAAACAGGGCAUGGGUCAGAUCUAGCUGGCUGCAUUCCUAACACCUAGGUUUCAGAGUAAAAAUAUAGAGUCAGCCUGUGAUGGCAUUCCCUCGAAACAUGGAAGGAACUGCAGUAAUGAAAGUCAUCAUGUAUUCUAAGUGACUGUUCUGCGAGAGCACAACACAGAUGGGGCUAAAGCAGGGAUUGUCUAAGCCCAGGGUGGAGGAACCAUCAAGGAUUUCAGCACGUUUUUUUAGCCAUUGUGAGAAGCAAAAGUGCUCAGGAGUUAAGAGAAGCAAACGUCCGAAAUUAUCUCCAUGCAUUACUAAAAACUGUGGGCACCACGGCACGGGGAAAACUUACCAGGUACAAUGAGCCAGUGACUGUUACUGAAUUUCUUAAGAUUACACUUUUCCCAACUACUGCAGACUGCUUCAGAAUAGAAGAAGACAACUCUCAAGCCAUCAAGUCGACUGACUUUCAAAAAAAUAAAAGAUGCAUUUCUUUACUUGUAAGUAUUUGUCUUUGCAAAGGGCUCUCUGAUAUGGUAGCACAGAAGUUUGCACAUUCUAAGGAUCU